UGCUCGUAAGAUGACGAGUGGCGGACGGGUGAGUAAUGCUUGGGAACUUGCCUUUGCGAGGGGGAUAACAGUUGGAAACGACUGCUAAUACCGCAUAAUGUCUUCGGACCAAACGGGGCUUCGGCUCCGGCGCAAAGAGAGGCCCAAGUGAGAUUAGCUAGUUGGUAAGGUAACGGCUUACCAAGGCGACGAUCUCUAGCUGUUCUGAGAGGAAGAUCAGCCACACUGGGACUGAGACACGGCCCAGACUCCUACGGGAGGCAGCAGUGGGGAAUAUUGCACAAUGGGGGAAACCCUGAUGCAGCCAUGCCGCGUGUGUGAAGAAGGCCUUCGGGUUGUAAAGCACUUUCAGUUGUGAGGAAAAGUUAGUAGUUAAUACCUGCUAGCCGUGACGUUAACAACAGAAGAAGCACCGGCUAACUCCGUGCCAGCAGCCGCGGUAAUACGGAGGGUGCGAGCGUUAAUCGGAAUUACUGGGCGUAAAGCGCACGCAGGCGGUUUGUUAAGCUAGAUGUGAAAGCCCCGGGCUCAACCUGGGAUGGUCAUUUAGAACUGGCAGACUAGAGUCUUGGAGAGGGGAGUGGAAUUCCAGGUGUAGCG
This 600-nucleotide ribosomal RNA is filed under the name Alteromonas macleodii. RNAcentral describes it as "bacterial SSU rRNA". It matches the Rfam family "Bacterial small subunit ribosomal RNA", at positions 77 to 680 of the family's 1533-position model. The record is from RNAcentral. Lineage: Bacteria; Pseudomonadati; Pseudomonadota; Gammaproteobacteria; Alteromonadales; Alteromonadaceae.